This 71-nucleotide transfer RNA is filed under the name Candidatus Woesearchaeota archaeon. RNAcentral describes it as "tRNA-Gly". It matches the Rfam family "tRNA". Rfam says of the family: Transfer RNA (tRNA) molecules are approximately 80 nucleotides in length. Their secondary structure includes four short double-helical elements and three loops (D, anti-codon, and T loops). The record is from RNAcentral. Lineage: Archaea; Nanobdellati; Candidatus Woesearchaeota.
GCGUCGGUGGUCUAGUGGUAUGACUGCGGCCUUCCAAGCCGUAUGCCCGGGUUCGAAUCCCGGCCGACGCA